AGAGCCACUGGAGGCAUCAGGGAGUUGACCCAUUUCUGAGCCUGCUCCUUUAUCCACCAAUCAAUACAAUCUGGGGCUGGAAUGUAUGCUGCCAUCUGGUAGCUUCUGCUUGCAGCUCUCUUGCAUGCUGAAGUACUGAUCCACUGCACACAGCACAUCUGACUUGCAUUUUUAAAAACAAAGCUACUUAUUUAUAAUCUCAUCACAUAACAAUGUGUUAAACAGUAUUGAAAAUGUAAACUGAGGUAAAUUAAGGAAAAUAUUGCAGAACUAAAGCCAGAUUAUAUUUGUUCAUGCUUCAUGGGAGUCCAUCAAAUUAAUUAUUCUCUAUUCUCUAAUUGAAGUUGACUGUCUUAUACUAAUUUCUUUGGAAAUCAGAAACCAACCCACAAAUAAAAACUGAGUUGCAGACAUAAAUCAACAAUGAAUAAUGCCAUUUACCUAGCAGCAGCAGUUUUUAUUGGACAUGUCAUGGUAUUACAGUUUAACAGAAGACAUCAUUCACAUAUACAAGCAUUUACAUACUUGAUACAGGUCAUAGUUUGGGAAGGAUGGGAUAGAUACUUGGCCAUGACAUUAUAGUAGGAAUUAUUCCAGAAUGUGCCUGGGGUAACACAGGUAAACCACAGAAAACCUAAAUCAAUAAAUUUAGAGUUAAUUAAUUUUAUGAUUAGCAGGAUGGGGCAUAACAACAUUGACUAGGUUUUGCACAUGUGUGUGUAUCACAAAUGGAACAGCCCUGUACUGUGGUUACUUGAGAUAAUCAGUUUGUGCAGGAGGCAAUCUAUAAAUCUUAUGAAUCUUCUAAUGAAAACUUUUAUUCAUUUGCCGAGAUUGCUACAUUAACACAUUAGUGGACUACUAGUUUCGGCAAUAUAAACGGCCAUCUUCAGAUCUAUAAAAGAAAAUAUGCCAAGGCUACAAGCUUAAACCAAUAUUAAAACACAAUAGAGCAUACACCAAAACUCAAUGACAAAAAAUUAUGUACCCAUAAAGCCAGGCAGUGGUAAUUACAUCACACAAUAAUUUAAAUCACUCCAUUAGAAGAAGAACACACACUGUGCUGUAAGAUAAUAAUCCCAUAAAAUUCUGUUCAUAUGGACCUCAGUUACUCUGUUAUAGUCAACAUAGCAUCAAACCCAUGAAACGACAUUAUAUGCCAUGUAUCUAUUUUGUUCAUGUUCUACAAAUUCGAAGUUGUACAUACAUUAUGGUUGCACAUCUGGCAUAUUGCUGUAAUGUUUUUACUUUAUAAUGGUAUGUUUUUAUUUAAUUUUACUUAUUAGGUGUAUUUAUUGUUGUAUUUUGAACUUGGGAUUAAAUCUGUGCAUAUGAACAGAAUUUUAUGAGACUUAUUAUUUGACAGCACAUUGUAUGUUCUUCUUGUGAUGAUGUGGUUUAAAUCAUUUUACAAUGUAACUUGCACUGGGCAGUUUUAUGGGUAAGUAAUUUUCUCACUUUGAGUUUUCGUGAAUGCCCUACUGUGCUUUUUAUAUUGCUUCAAGUCUGUAACCAGACCAUAUUUUCUUUUAUAGACUUGAAAUGGCAAUUUAUAUUGCCAAAGCUUGCAAUCCACUAAUGUGUUAACAUAGUGAUCUUAUAAAUAAAUAAAAGUGAUCAUACGAAAACUGCAUUAUGAAAGAGCCUUAGUUUAAAACGGUGAGGUUUUAACACCUGCACACUGUAAAUUUACUGAUCCAAUUAUUCUUCUUUAAUUUGUAGAUUAUAUCUUGUUCAGUAACAAAAUCUACCAACAGAUGAUACACAUACACAGCUGGUCUGACAACACUUUCCCACACAUGCAACACAUCAUUUGGCACCCUUUGCCUUCGCCUAUCACUUUUCCAAGCAUGUUAAGUAUCAUUUGCCACCCCUCUCUUCCCUCACACAUUAGGUACCAUUUAGGUACCAUUCCUUGAGCUCUUGGUAAGAUCUUUAAAAAAUCUAAUCUAUUGUGUUCGGAAAUUGACUGUUUUCACUACUAAUUACAGUAAACCCUGUGCAUAAGUUUUGUACUAGAGGUAAUACAGGUGCUCCUCUCAGCUUGGUGCCCU
Molecule: long non-coding RNA, 2054 nt
Organism: Schistocerca cancellata (South American locust)
Lineage: Eukaryota; Metazoa; Arthropoda; Insecta; Orthoptera; Acrididae
Exons: 3
Source: RefSeq, a predicted model, not a curated record